UGGGGAAUUUUGCACAAUGGGGUAAACCCUGAUGCAGCGACGCCGCGUGAUUUAGAAGGCCUUCGGGUUGUAAAAAUCUUUUUUACGGGAUGAAAAUGACAGUACCGUAAGAAUAAGGUCCGGCUAAAUACGUGCCAGCAGCCGCGGUAAUACGUAUGGACCGAGCGUUGUCCUGAAUCAUUGGGCGUAAAGGGUACGUAGGCGGCCUAGUAAGUUAGAAGUGAAAUAAUAUAGCUCAACUAUAUAAAGCUUUUAAAACUGCUAGGCUUUCUAGAUGGAAGGGAUAGUGGAAUUCCUAGUGUAGCGGUGAAAUGCGGAGAUAUUAGGAAGAAUAACGGUGGCGAAGGCGACUUUCUUGUCAUCAUCUGACGCUGAGUUACGAAAGCGUGGGUAGCAAACAGG
This 402-nucleotide ribosomal RNA is filed under the name bacterium. Its description in RNAcentral is "partial 16S ribosomal RNA". It matches the Rfam family "Bacterial small subunit ribosomal RNA", at positions 355 to 776 of the family's 1533-position model. The record is from RNAcentral.